CCUCGAUGAGUAGGAGGG
This 18-nucleotide small nuclear RNA is filed under the name Arabidopsis thaliana (thale cress). Its description in RNAcentral is "snRNA_11568". Lineage: Eukaryota; Viridiplantae; Streptophyta; Magnoliopsida; Brassicales; Brassicaceae. The record is from RNAcentral.